GAAAAAGAAGUCUUCUCAGGCUUCAGAACAGAAACCUUCAGAAUCUAGUUGCGUUGAGUCGUGUUCGACUGUAGAACAUGAAGCUUUAACUGUGUAUCAUGUUUCAGAUAACUGUUUAGCUAUUGAUUCCAAGCGUCUUCAUCAGGAAUGGUUGUUUGAUAGCGGUUGCAGCUCGCACAUGUGUAACAACGCAAGCAGGUUUGAUAAAAUAUUGCCAAGUAACCAACAAUUGAAAUUAGCCACUGAUUCUUUGACAACCGUGCAAGGUAAGGGUACUGUCAAGAUAUUAGCAUGUAACGAUGAUAUUACGCGAAAAAUCCAAUUUGAAGAUACGUUGUUAGUUCCUGAUCUACGUAGUAACUUAAUUUCGAUUUCUAAACUUACUGAUCGAGGUUGUAUAGUCACUUUUAAACGUGAUGUAGCAUAUGCAACUAAGGAUGGUGAAGUUAAGUUGACUGCUGAUCGUAGAGGUAAUUUGUAUUACCUGAGAGAGCAGGAUGCUUCGGCAUCUGUAGUAUCAGAUAAGGAUGUGGAUUUGUGUAGAUGGCAUGAGCGUAUGGGACAUUUGAAUGCUAGGGAUCUUAUGAAAGUACUGAAGAAAUCGGGUAUAGACGCCACCAAGUCUGAUACUGAAUUGCGCGAUUGUGAUGUGUGUGCUAAGGGAAAGAUGGUUGCGUUGCCUUUUGUGAAGUCCAGUCAGCCAUGUGACGAAAAGUUAAAAAUAAUUUAUUCUGAUGUGGUAGGCCCAAUGAGAGUUCAAUCAAAUGCGGGAAACAAAUAUUUUGUUACAUUUAUUGAUGAUUGUACUCGUUGGUGUGAAGUUUUUAUGUUGAAAAAUAAAAGUGACGUCUUGUCAAAGUUUAAAAUAUUUAAAUGUCAGAUCGAAAAUUUGACAGGUAAACAAAUAAAAUAUUUCCAUUCCGAUAAUGGCAAGGAAUUUGUGAAUAGUGAUUUUUCGAAAUUUUUACAAGAAAAUGGAAUAAAAAAGAGGUUGACUACGCCGUAUUCACCGCAGAGUAAUGGAAUUGCAGAACGGAUGAAUCGCACCUUACUGGAGAAGGCAAGAUAACAUUCGGUGCGAAAGUUCAUGUUUUGGAAAAGGAGCCAGGAAAGGAUAAGUUCGCAGCACGAAGUUCUCCCGGCAUUUUUGUGGGCUACCCGGCUGAAUCUGGUGGCUAUAGGGUGUGGAUAUCCGAGAAAAGAAAAA
This is a long non-coding RNA of Ostrinia nubilalis (European corn borer), 1207 nucleotides long. RefSeq lists it as uncharacterized. NCBI's taxonomy places the organism in Eukaryota, Metazoa, Arthropoda, Insecta, Lepidoptera, Crambidae. The record is from RefSeq and is a predicted model, not a curated record. The transcript is spliced from 2 exons.